CCCUGGCUCAGAGUGAACGCUGGCGGCAGGCCUAACACAUGCAAGUCGAACGGCAGCACAGCAGUAGCAAUACUGUGGGUGGCGAGUGGCGGACGGGUGAGGAAUGCAUCGGAAUCUGCCUAUUUGUGGGGGAUAACGUAGGGAAACUUACGCUAAUACCGCAUACGUCCUACGGGAGAAAGUGGGGGACCUUCGGGCCUCACGCAGAUAGAUGAGCCGAUGCCGGAUUAGCUAGUUGGCGGGGUAAAGGCCCACCAAGGCGACGAUCCGUAGCUGGUCUGAGAGGAUGAUCAGCCACACUGGAACUGAGACACGGUCCAGACUCCUACGGGAGGCAGCAGUGGGGAAUAUUGGACAAUGGGCGCAAGCCUGAUCCAGCCAUGCCGCGUGUGUGAAGAAGGCCUUCGGGUUGUAAAGCACUUUUGUCCGGAAAGAAAAGCUUCGGGUUAAUAACCCGGGGUUAUGACGGUACCGGAAGAAUAAGCC
RNAcentral lists this ribosomal RNA (486 nucleotides) under Lysobacter sp. CL4.11. RNAcentral's name for it is "bacterial SSU rRNA". It matches the Rfam family "Bacterial small subunit ribosomal RNA", at positions 17 to 492 of the family's 1533-position model. The record is from RNAcentral. Lineage: Bacteria; Pseudomonadati; Pseudomonadota; Gammaproteobacteria; Lysobacterales; Lysobacteraceae.